Molecule: unclassified non-coding RNA, 327 nt
Filed under: soil metagenome
Description: partial contains 5.8S ribosomal RNA, internal transcribed spacer 2, and large subunit ribosomal RNA
Rfam family: 5.8S ribosomal RNA (bases 1-120)
Source: RNAcentral
GAUGAAGAACGUAGCGAAAUGCGAUAAGUAAUGUGAAUUGCAGAAUUCAGUGAAUCAUCGAAUCUUUGAACGCACAUUGCGCCCUUUGGUAUUCCGAAGGGCAUGCCUGUUCGAGCGUCAUUUCACCACUCAAGCCUGGCUUGGUAUUGGGCGCCGCGGUCGAUCCGCGCGCCUCAAAGUCUCCGGCUGAGCUGUCCGUCUCUAAGCGUCGUGAUUUCAUUAAUCGCUUCGGAGUGCGGGCGGCCGCGGCCGUUAAAUCUUUCACAAGGUUGACCUCGGAUCAGGUAGGGAUACCCGCUGAACUUAAGCAUAUCAAUAAGCGGAGGA